This 225-nucleotide ribosomal RNA is filed under the name Megamonas hypermegale. Its description in RNAcentral is "partial 16S ribosomal RNA". It matches the Rfam family "Bacterial small subunit ribosomal RNA", at positions 108 to 318 of the family's 1533-position model. The record is from RNAcentral. Lineage: Bacteria; Bacillati; Bacillota; Negativicutes; Selenomonadales; Selenomonadaceae.
GAGUAACGCGUAAGCAAUCUACCUUCAAGAUGGGGACAACACUUCGAAAGGGGUGCUAAUACCGAAUGAAUGAGAGAUGACCGCAUGGAUAUUUCUCUAAAGGAGGCCUAGUCAACGCUUCCGCUUGAAGAUGAGCUUGCGUCUGAUUAGCUAGUUGGUGAGGGUAAAGGCCCACCAAGGCGACGAUCAGUAGCCGGUCUGAGAGGAUGAACGGCCACAUUGGGA